This 477-nucleotide ribosomal RNA is filed under the name uncultured bacterium. RNAcentral describes it as "bacterial SSU rRNA". It matches the Rfam family "Bacterial small subunit ribosomal RNA", at positions 34 to 507 of the family's 1533-position model. The record is from RNAcentral.
CGCUGGCGGCGUGCUUAACACAUGGCAAAGUCGAACGGAGCGUUAGUGGGAAAGAGACUUCGGUCAAGUGGAAUUAAGCUUAGUGGCGACGGUGAGUAACGCGUGAGGAACCUGCCUUUCAGAGGGGGACAACAGUUGGAAACGACUGCUAAUACCGCAUAACGUAUACGGGUCGCAUGGUCUGUAUACCAAAGAUUUAUCGCUGAAAGAUGGCCUCGCGUCUGAUUAGCUAGUUGGUGAGGUAACGGCCCACCAAGGCGACGAUCAGUAGCCGGACUGAGAGGUUGAACGGCCACAUUGGAACUGAGAUACGGUCCAGACUCCUACGGGAGGCAGCAGUGGGGAAUAUUGGGCAAUGGGCGAAAGCCUGACCCAGCGACGCCGCGUGAGGGAAGAAGAUCUUCGGAUUGUAAACCUUAGUCAACAGGGAAGAAGAAAGUGACGGUACCUGUGGAGGAAGCCACGGCUAACUACGUG